GGAUCAUUAGCACAAUUGGUUAGUGCAUUCGGCUCAUAACCGAAAGGCUCAGAGUUCAAGUCUCUGAUGAUCCA
RNAcentral lists this transfer RNA (74 nucleotides) under Bacteriophage sp. RNAcentral describes it as "tRNA-Met". It matches the Rfam family "tRNA". Rfam says of the family: Transfer RNA (tRNA) molecules are approximately 80 nucleotides in length. The record is from RNAcentral. RNAcentral also lists the same sequence under 1 other name.